Molecule: long non-coding RNA, 626 nt
Organism: Miniopterus natalensis
Lineage: Eukaryota; Metazoa; Chordata; Mammalia; Chiroptera; Miniopteridae
Source: RefSeq, a predicted model, not a curated record
ACCUGCCCUCCGCGUAUUCCGCGAACCGAGCUGCUUUGUAGCCGGCCGGCGUCGGGGAUCCUUUUUGCUUCGGCGUUGGUGAUGUAAAUUCAUGAAUUAAAAUUAAGGAUUUGCGGCGAACGUUGAAAAACGCAUUUGGAUUUAGGUUGCUUUUAAAAAGAAAACCACCAAAGAAGAGACGAUAGGUUUGCAGGAGUAUUAACUGCUGACUGGAACACUGGAUGCCGGUGCAUUACGAGGAUUUGUUCUCCAAAAACUUUUUUUUUAAUUGCACGUUGGUAAAUAUUGAGUGUUUUCAAGUAACAUCCUGCAGUAUGUAUUUAAUGUCCUCAUUGCGGAAAUUUCUUAAAUGUUCUUCAGAAGAUGAUGAGGUCAUUCAACCAGGUUUCAUCAGCCCCAGAGUGAAUCCUUUGACAUGGAGAUGAUGCUCUAAUGAGUAUCAUGAAAAAGAAGAUUCUGAAAAGUUGCUACAAUAUUUUAAUUUACCAACUAGUUUCUGAUAACUAUAGAUUGUGGUUUUUCUGUGGAGGCAAACUGGAGACAGUCCAGAUACCUUUUUCUUUUCUGUUGGGAAAUAAUGUUAACACCAAUGUGUUAAGUGACUGCAAUAAAGUUUCAUGUCUGUG